CGAGAUGGAGUAGCGGGGGGCGGCAGGUCAGGAUUGAGGGGCGCUGGCAGAGGUCUGGGUGGGACACGAGAUGAAGUAGCGGGGGGCUGCAGGUCAGGAUUGAGGGGCACUGGCAGAGGUCUGGGUGGGACCCGAGAUGGAGUAGCGGGGGGCGGCAGGUCAGGAUUGAGGGGCGCUGGCAGAGCUCUGGGUGGGACCCGAGAUGGAGUAGCAGGGGGCUGCAGGUCAGGAUUGAGGGGUGCUGGCAGAGGUCUGGGUGGGACCCGAGAUGGAGUAGCGGGGGGCUGCAGGUCAGGAUUGAGGGGCACUGGCAGAGCUACUUGCAGGAUGCCGUGGACUGGGAUAGCAGGCUGGAACUGAAGUGCACCAUCGCCCCUGCCCCUCUCUUGUAACCUGAGACUCAGGCUCCCUUUCUGGAUGGUGAAGUGCCCCUGCCUGGGCAAUGUGGGGUAAUGUUUUUCUCCCAGCAAAAGUGCCCCCUGCAGGGCUGCGGCAGCCCUUCUCGCAGUGGUUUUUGCAUGGCUGGAGCUUGGAGCUAUUUCCCCUGAGGCAGCUGCAGUUUUGCAUGUCUCGUUGAGCUGGGAGUUACGUGGCACUUCGCAGGGCAAGCACUGCAGCGCUCUGAGGGUGCACUGACGUGGCAUCUAACCGGGACCCUCAAUAGAGCACAGCAAAUCAUGGCAUUCAAGAGGCACUAGACCCCCGCGGCUGGCUCCAGUCAGCUGACUCAGGCUCGUGGGGCUUGCGUGGGGGGGCUAUCAGACUGCAGUGUAGACGCUCAGCUUGGGCUAGAGCCUGAGCUCUGGGACCUCGUGAGGAGGGAGGCCAGCCGCGGGUGUUUAACUGCAGUGUAGACAUACCCUUUCAUUCCGGGCCCGAAGAUGCCACCUUGCACUACGAAGAAUUUCUCAAGGGUGAAGUUAGCACUGGUGCAAGGAGCUGGAUCGGCUAUUUACCAUUGACCCCAGCUCAGCUACAGCACAAGCAGAGCAUCUGCCUCUGGGGCCAGAGGGAUAGUCAGUCUCCAGGGCUCAUUCAUUGGAUGGCUUUUUUGCUGAGUGCCAGCUCUGGUGAUAGUCACCAGUUCACUAGGAACUGGACUGAGACUCCUCAAACUCAUCAUUCCAUAUGGGCCAGUCUUCAGAUAGUCACUGCUCUUAAUGACUUGGGCUGGAUCCCAGUUUAUUGGUGAUAAAAUUUUGGACAGCUCACCCAGGGGUGAUUCCAAAGCCAACUGAAGCCCCUGAGGGAAUGUCUACAUUGCAAUUAAACGCUCAGGGCUGGCCUGUGCCAGCUGACUCAGGCUCACAGGGCUCGGACUAGGGGGCUGUUGAACUGGUUUUCCAGGCUUCUCGGACUCUGCCAGGAGCUCUUGCAGCAGGGGAAACAGGAAGAGCUGCCCAUCAUAUGCAGUCAUGGCUGAGAAAGAAGCCACUUUUAUAAAUCUGAGGAAGGGGCGUGGCUAGAGCAUUGGCCACGCCUCUGGAUGGCCCUUGCCCCACCCGAAUUGGGGAAGCAGAUAAUAAAAGCCUGCAGCUGCUUUCUCGGUAGUGUGAUGUGCUUGUUUAAGAGACCAGCUGGCCCAGCCCUAAGUGGAUAGAGGAAGAGGCUAAGCAUCUCUCCCACACUAGCCAGUCCCCCUUGAUCAUUAGCUCCUG
Molecule: long non-coding RNA, 1658 nt
Organism: Chelonia mydas (Green sea turtle)
Lineage: Eukaryota; Metazoa; Chordata; Testudines; Cheloniidae
Exons: 2
Source: RefSeq, a predicted model, not a curated record